RNAcentral lists this ribosomal RNA (460 nucleotides) under uncultured bacterium. RNAcentral's name for it is "partial 16S ribosomal RNA". It matches the Rfam family "Bacterial small subunit ribosomal RNA", at positions 338 to 795 of the family's 1533-position model. The record is from RNAcentral.
CCUACGUGGUGCAGCAGUGAGGAAUAUUGGUCAAUGGACGAGAGUCUGAACCAGCCAAGUAGCGUGAAGGAUGACUGCCCUAUGGGUUGUAAACGUCUUUUAUAUGGGACUAAAAUGUUCCACGUGUGGGAUUUUGUAUGUACCAUAUGAAUACGGAUCGGCUAACUCCGUGCCAGCAGCCGCGGUAAUACGGAGGAUCCGAGCGUUAUCCGGAUUUAUUGGGUUUAAAGGGAGCGUAGGUUGAUUGUUAAGUCAGAUGUGAACGUUUGCGGCUCAACCGUAAAAUUGCAGUUGAAACUGGCAGUCUUGAGGACAGUAGAGGUGGGCGGAAUUCGUGGUGUAGCGGGGAAAUGCUUAGAUAUCACGAAGAACUCCGAUUGCGAAGGCAGCUCACUGGACUGCAACUGACACUGAGGCUCGAAAGUGUGGGUAUCAAACAGGAUUAGAUACCCCUGUAGUC